This 729-nucleotide ribosomal RNA is filed under the name Enterococcus faecium. RNAcentral's name for it is "partial 23S ribosomal RNA". It matches the Rfam family "Bacterial large subunit ribosomal RNA", at positions 1538 to 2274 of the family's 2925-position model. The record is from RNAcentral. Lineage: Bacteria; Bacillati; Bacillota; Bacilli; Lactobacillales; Enterococcaceae.
AAAUGCUUCUUUUCUUAAGGACAAGCUGUGAUGGGGAGGGAAAUAAUAGUACCGAAGUUCCUGAUGUCACACUGCCGAGAAAAGCUUCUAGUGAGAAAACAGCGGCCCGUACCGCAAACCGACACAGGUAGUCGAGGAGAGAAUCCUAAGGUGAGCGAGAGAACUCUCGUUAAGGAACUCGGCAAAAUGACCCCGUAACUUCGGGAGAAGGGGUGCUGAUCAUACGAUCAGCCGCAGUGAAUAGGCCCAAGCGACUGUUUAUCAAAAACACAGGUCUCUGCAAAAUCGUAAGAUGAAGUAUAGGGGCUGACGCCUGCCCGGUGCUGGAAGGUUAAGAGGAGUGCUUAGCGCAAGCGAAGGUACGAAUUGAAGCCCCAGUAAACGGCGGCCGUAACUAUAACGGUCCUAAGGUAGCGAAAUUCCUUGUCGGGUAAGUUCCGACCCGCACGAAAGGCGUAACGAUUUGGGCACUGUCUCAACGAGAGACUCGGUGAAAUUUUAGUACCUGUGAAGAUGCAGGUUACCCGCGACAGGACGGAAAGACCCCAUGGAGCUUUACUGUAGUUUGAUAUUGAGUGUCUGUACCGCAUGUACAGGAUAGGUAGGAGCCGUAGAAAUCGGAACGCUAGUUUCGAUGGAGGCGCUGGUGGGAUACUACCCCUGCGUUAUGGCCACUCUAACCCGCACCACUAAUCGUGGUGGGAGACAGUGUCAGAUGGGCAGUUUGAC